GACGAACGCUGGCGGUGUGCUUAACACAUGCAAGUCGAACGGAAAGGCCCUGCUUUUGUGGGGUGCUCGAGUGGCGAACGGGUGAGUAACACGUGAGUAACCUGCCCUUGACUUUGGGAUAACUUCAGGAAACUGGGGCUAAUACCGGAUAGGAGCUCCUGCUGCAUGGUGGGGGUUGGAAAGUUUCGGCUGUUGGGGAUGGACUCGCGGCUUAUCAGCUUGUUGGUGGGGUAGUGGCUUACCAAGGCUUUGACGGGUAGCCGGCCUGAGAGGGUGACCGGCCACAUUGGGACUGAGAUACGGCCCAGACUCCUACGGGAGGCAGCAGUGGGGAAUAUUGCACAAUGGGCGGAAGCCUGAUGCAGCAACGCCGCGUGCGGGAUGACGGCCUUCGGGUUGUAAACCGCUUUCGCCUGUGACGAAGCGUGAGUGACGGUAAUGGGUAAAGAAGCACCGGCUAACUACGUG
Molecule: ribosomal RNA, 468 nt
Filed under: uncultured bacterium
Lineage: Bacteria
Description: partial 16S ribosomal RNA
Rfam family: Bacterial small subunit ribosomal RNA
Source: RNAcentral